GAUGAACGCUGGCGGCGUGCUUAACACAUGCAAGUCGAACGGAAAGGCCGAAGCUUGCUUCGGUACUCGAUUGGCGAACGGGUGAGUAACACGUGGGUGAUCUGCCCUGUACUUCGGGAUAAGCUUGGGAAACUGGGGCUAAUACCGGAUAUGACAAUCUCUUGGAUGGGGUUGUGGAAAGCUUUUGCGGUAUGGGAUGAGCUCGCGGCCUAUCAGCUUGUUGGUGGGUUAAUGGCCUACCAAGGCGUCGACGGGUAGCCGGCCUGAGAGGGUGUACGGCGACAUUGGGACUGAGAUACGGACCAGAAUCGUACGGGAGGCAGCAGUGGGGAAUAUUGCACAAUGGGCGCAAGCCUGAUGCAGCGACGCCGCGUGGGGGAUGACGGCCUUCGGGUUGUAAACUCCUUUCGCAACCGACGAAGCUUUUGUGACGGUAGGUUGAGAAGAAGCACCGGCUAACUACGUG
Molecule: ribosomal RNA, 466 nt
Filed under: uncultured bacterium
Lineage: Bacteria
Description: partial 16S ribosomal RNA
Rfam family: Bacterial small subunit ribosomal RNA
Source: RNAcentral